AUUGAACGCUGGCGGUAGGCCUAACACAUGCAAGUCGAGCGGAGCGGCGGACGGGUGAGUAAUGCCUAGGAAUCUGCCUGGUAGUGGGGGAUAACGUCCGGAAACGGGCGCUAAUACCGCAUACUAUCAGAUGAGCCUAGGUCGGAUUAGCUAGUUGGUGGGGUAAAGGCCUACCAAGGCGACGAUCCGUAACUGGUCUGAGAGGAUGAUCAGUCACACGUGAACUGAGACACGGUCCAGACUCCUACGGGAGGAAGCAGUGGUGAAUAUGGGACAAUGGGCGAAAGCCUGAUCCAGCCAUGCCGCGUGAGUGAUUACGGCCUUCGGGUUGUAAAGCUCUGUUAAUCGGGACGCGGUACCGGAAUAGAAAGCCACGGCUAACUACGUGCCAGCAGCCGCGGUGAUUC
This 407-nucleotide ribosomal RNA is filed under the name uncultured bacterium. RNAcentral describes it as "partial 16S ribosomal RNA". It matches the Rfam family "Bacterial small subunit ribosomal RNA", at positions 30 to 526 of the family's 1533-position model. The record is from RNAcentral.